Oncorhynchus kisutch (coho salmon) is the source of this 437-nucleotide long non-coding RNA. RefSeq lists it as uncharacterized. The transcript is spliced from 3 exons. The record is from RefSeq and is a predicted model, not a curated record. Lineage: Eukaryota; Metazoa; Chordata; Actinopteri; Salmoniformes; Salmonidae.
UCACGUGCGGAAUGAACUGUGCUUUAUAACUUCCAGACGAGGAGUUAGGUUGUGUUUUUGUAGCUGUGUAUAGAAAGGUCAAUUGCUUGUUAGGUUCUCAGUGCUCAAGCACAGAUAAGGGAACCGCCAUAUGUUCCCCAGCCCCACAGCACAGCCGAUCCCAGCCAGGGUGAACUCUAUCUGCCUGUUCCAUGUGGGCCUGCCUGGCUCCUGAUCCAUCUUGCCUUGGUCCAGCUCCAUCUCCAAGGGCCGGAUCGAGGAACGGGAAUGCAGACGCGCUGUCCCGACGCGACCAAGAGGGUGCGUCUGGCGCCCGACCCUCCGGUUCGGUCCUGGGGGGGAAGGUAUGUGGAAGGACCACCAGAGGGCAGGCUGGGCUCAUGGAUAGUAGCCCAACAAGGCAUGGGAGACAAGGUAACCAGAGGCAAUUAAGCACA